This 482-nucleotide ribosomal RNA is filed under the name uncultured Bacteroidota bacterium. Its description in RNAcentral is "bacterial SSU rRNA". It matches the Rfam family "Bacterial small subunit ribosomal RNA", at positions 28 to 505 of the family's 1533-position model. The record is from RNAcentral. Lineage: Bacteria; Pseudomonadati; Bacteroidota.
GAUGAACGCUAGCGGCAGGCUUAAUACAUGCAAGUCGAGCGAGAACGCUCCCUUCGGGGAGUUAUUAAAGCGGCGAACGGGUGCGUAACGCGUACACAACCUACCUUUUAGUGGGGGACAACCUCGGGAAACUGAAGCUAAUACCCCAUAGUAUUGUACUUUCGCAUGUUUGUACAAUUAAAGCUCCGGCGCUAAAAGAUGGGUGUGCGUCCCAUUAGGUAGUUGGUGAGGUAAAGGCUCACCAAGCCGACGAUGGGUAGCGGGUCUGAGAGGAUGAUCCGCCACACGGGCACUGAGACACGGGCCCGACUCCUACGGGAGGCAGCAGUAAGGAAUAUUGGUCAAUGGAGGCAACUCUGAACCAGCCAUGCCGCGUGCAGGAUGACGGUCCUAUGGAUUGUAAACUGCUUUUCUACAGGAAUAAAAUGUCCGAGUUUCUCGGAAACUGAAGGUACUGUAGGAAUAAGCACCGGCUAACUCCG